CCGCGCUGCUGGCAUUAGCUGCCUGUCGCGUUAAUCUGUACAUUCAUAUGGAUACAAAUAAACAGACAUACAUACUGGCAGCAGACAGAGAUUUUAGAAAGUGCAAAUGAACAUACAUACAUACACAUGACGCGAUCGGCAACAUCUUAAGUGAUAAAAGUCUUCUUUUAACCAUUUUCACCAACUUUUUAAGUUAAAGUUAUAUGCAAAGAUACACAUAGAUACA
Rhagoletis pomonella (apple maggot) is the source of this 226-nucleotide long non-coding RNA. RefSeq lists it as uncharacterized. The record is from RefSeq and is a predicted model, not a curated record. NCBI's taxonomy places the organism in Eukaryota, Metazoa, Arthropoda, Insecta, Diptera, Tephritidae. The transcript is spliced from 2 exons.